GACGAACGCUGGCGGCGUGCUUAACACAUGCAAGUCGAACGGAAAGGCCCUGCUUUUGUGGGGUUCUCGAGUGGCGAACGGGUGAGUAACACGUGAGUAACCUGCCCUUGACUUUGGGAUAACUUCAGGAAACUGGGGCUAAUACCGGAUAGGAUCUCCUGCUGCAUGGUGGGGUUUGGAAAGUUUCGGCGGUUGGGGAUGGACUCGCGGCUUAUCAGCUUGUUGGUGGGGUAGUGGCUUACCAAGGCUUUGACGGGUAGCCGGCCUGAGAGGGUGACCGGCGACAUUGGGACUGAGAUACGGCCCAGACUGCUACGGGAGGCAGCAGUGGGGAAUAUUGCACAAUGGGCGGAAGCCUGAUGCAGCAACGCCGCGUGCGGGAUGACGGCCUUCGGGUUGUAAACAGCUUUCGCCUGUGACGAAGAGUGAGUGACGGUAAUGGGUAAAGAAGCACCGGCUAACUACGUG
Molecule: ribosomal RNA, 468 nt
Filed under: uncultured bacterium
Lineage: Bacteria
Description: partial 16S ribosomal RNA
Rfam family: Bacterial small subunit ribosomal RNA
Source: RNAcentral